RNAcentral lists this unclassified non-coding RNA (319 nucleotides) under plant metagenome. RNAcentral's name for it is "partial contains 5.8S ribosomal RNA, internal transcribed spacer 2, and large subunit ribosomal RNA". The stretch from base 1 to 105 matches the Rfam family "5.8S ribosomal RNA", at positions 50 to 154 of the family's 154-position model. The record is from RNAcentral.
GAAAUGCGAUAACUAGUGUGAAUUGCAGAAUUCCGUGAAUCAUCGAGUCUUUGAACGCACAUUGCGCCCCCUGGUAUUCCGGGGGGCAUGCCUGUCCGAGCGUCAUUGCUGCCCAUCAAGCACGGCUUGUGUGUUGGGUCGUCGUCCCCUCUUCGGGGGGGGACGGGCCCCAAAGGCAGCGGCGGCACCGCGUCCGAUCCUCGAGCGUAUGGGGCUUUGUCACCCGCUCUGUAGGCCCGGCCGGCGCUUGCCGAACGCAAAACAACCAUUCUUUCCAGGUUGACCUCGGAUCAGGUAGGGAUACCCGCUGAACUUAAGC